Molecule: long non-coding RNA, 1530 nt
Organism: Bufo bufo (common toad)
Lineage: Eukaryota; Metazoa; Chordata; Amphibia; Anura; Bufonidae
Exons: 3
Source: RefSeq, a predicted model, not a curated record
AGGAUGUCCUGAGUAAGUAAAAGCCGAAAAAACACCAGGGGGUGAUGGGCUCCCUUUUGAAAUAUAUAAAACCUUCUCCCAGGUUUUAGUACCAGAGUUAAAAACAACAUUGGAUGAGGCUCGAAAACUAGGUGAUUUACCGAACUCCAUGAAGGAGGCAAUUAUUACAUUAAUUCCAAAAAAGGGAAAAGAACAAUUAGAUCCCGGGUCAUAUAGGCCAAUAUCCCUUCUGAAUACGGGCGUCAAAAUUUUGGCAAAGGUCUUGGCUGAUAGGCUGUCAAAGGUUAUUAAAGUAGUAAUAAAUAAAGAUCAGACAGGUUUUAUACCGGGUAGAACAAUAUACCCAAAUAUAAGAAGGUUGUUCCUUAACAUCGAAGCCAAUAGAUUAGAUGCAGGGGAGAAAGCGAUACUUUCACUGGACGCCCAAAAGGCAUUUGACUGUAUUGAAUGGGAGUACCUUUGGGCAGUAUUAAAAAGGGUUGGUAUAGGGGAGGGAUUUAUAAGGUGGAUUCAGUUAAUAUAUCUUAACCCAAGGGCUAGAGUGGUCGUGGAUGGGAGCUUGUCCCUGCCGUUUGCCCUAUAUCGCGGCACUAGGCAGGGAUGCCCUCUCUCCCCACUGUUAUUUGCUAUCGCAAUUGAGCCUCUGGCAAGCAUAACAAGAAAUGAUAGGGAGAUUAAAGGGUUUCAAUAUGUGGGUGGAGAAGAAAAACUGUUAAUGUAUGCGGACGAUAUCUUACUUUUUUUGCACAAUACUGGGGAUCAGUUUAAUAGAGUGACAGAAAUAAUAGAUAAUUUUUUUUUUUUCUGGUCUAAAUAUUAAUUGGGGGAAAUCACAUAUGUUACUAUUAGGAGAUAGACAAUUACAGGGAGACUCACGGGUGCACGUCCUCGAAAAACACGAGAAUUUUAAAUAUCUUGGUAUACAAAUUUCCGGUCACAUAGAAGAAUAUGAAAAAUUAAAUGUCCUCCCCUUAAUAAAAGAACUUAGAACCAAAAUACAUAUAUGGAAAAGAUUACCAAUGUCAAUACAAGGUCGGGUAAAUUUAAUAAAAAUGGUCUUUCUCCCAAAAAUACUUUAUGUUUUGCAAAAUGCUCCAGUGAGAAUAUCGCAGAACAUUUUUAAGCUACUCGAUAGCCUAAUGGGGGAUUUUAUCUGGAAGGGAGCUAUCCCUCGAAUAAAGAAAGAAGUUCUUCAGCUUCCAGUGCGGGAGGGAGGAUUAGCGGUUCCCAAUUUGUUUUUUUACUAUCUAAUAACACAAUAUGGGAACAUAAAGGGUAGUUUAAAUAGUUUGGUGGGUAGUCAAGAAAUAAAUAGAUGGGGAUGGAAAGAGGAGUGGAACUACUUAGAGGUGUUGGAAUCAGUUUUUUUGGGGAAAAAAAAUAUUGGUAAUAGAACAUUAAACUUAGUAGAAUAUGUAUGGGGGGAAAUUAAAAAAAUAUUACAGAUUAAAGGGUUUUUGCAUUACACACCGAUUUGGAAAAAUCUUAAUUUAAAGGAACUGGAAACGAUCAGGACUUAUAUAGACUGGG